This 1886-nucleotide long non-coding RNA is filed under the name Mus musculus (house mouse). RNAcentral's name for it is "long non-coding RNA chrX:47724527-47726413". The record is from RNAcentral. Lineage: Eukaryota; Metazoa; Chordata; Mammalia; Rodentia; Muridae.
GCUGAUCUCCUCCAGUGCGUGUGCCCAGCCACCUGGUUGUCAUGGAGGAGGUCUUAGCUGAAGAGCUUGAGGAGGAGGAGCAGCUGGUAAGAUGGCACCAGAAGAAGAAGAAGGAGCUGCAAGCCAAAAUUCAAGGAAUAAAGAACGCUGUUCCCAAAAAUGACAAAAAGAGGAGGAAACAACUCAAGGAAGAUGUUGCUAAGUUGGAGAGAGAAAUGGAGCAAAAACACAGGGAGGAACUGGAGCAAUUGAAGCUGACUUUCAAGGAUAGUAAAGCAGAUUCUGUUGUUGUUAACAUUUCAAACUUGGUACUUGAGAAUCACCUCAGAUUUCUUUUUUUUUAUGAGAUAUGUCCUAAUUUUAUUUUUUAAUUAGGUAUUUAUUUCAUUUACAUUUCCACUGCUAUCCCAAAAGUCCCCCACCCGCUCCCCCACCCACCCACUCCCACUUCUUGGCCCUGGCGUUCACCUGUACUGAGGCAAAUAAAGUCUGCACGACCAAUGGGCCUCUCUUUCCACUGAUGGCCACCUAGGCCAUCUUCUGAUACAUAUGCAGCUAGAGACACGAGAUCCGGAGGGUACUGGUUAGUUCACAUUUUUUUUCCACCUAUAGGGUUGCAGAUCUCUUUAGCUCCUUGGAUACUUUCUCUAGCUCCUCCAUUGGGGGCCCUGUGAUCCAUCCAAUAGCUGACUGUGAGCAUUCACUUCUGUGUUUGCUAGGCCCCAGCCUAGUCUCACAAGAGACAGCUAUAUCUGGGUCCUUUCAGCAAAAUCUUGCUAGUGUAUGCAAUGGUGUCAGCGUUUGGAGGCUGAUUAUGGGAUGGAUCCCCGGAUAUGACAGUCUCUAGAUGGUCCAUCCUUUCGUCUCAGCUCCAAACUGUGUCUCUGUAACUCCUUCCAUGGGUGUUUUGUUCCCAAUUCUAAGAAGGGGCAAAGUGUUCACACUUUGGUCUUCGUUCUUUUUGAGUUUCAUGAGUUUCACAAAUUGUAUCUUAUAUCUUGGGUAUUCUAAGUUUCUGGGCUAAUAUCCACUUAUCAGUGAGUACAUAUCAUUUGAGUGCUUGAGGAUCAGCUGAGAGAACAAGACAGUGCUCUGACUGUGGCUGCCCUAAGGAGGCAGGCUGCUGAGUACAUGCAAAGCCAUUCAGACGACUUCAUGCCAUUUCUAACAAACCUCAGCACAGGAGAUAUGUACACACCAGAAGAGUUUGGGAAGUAUUGUGACGAUAUUGUAAACACAGUGGCAUGGGGCGGUCAGCUUGAGCUAAGAGCUCCAUCUCACAUCUUACAAACACCAACAGAGAUACUACAGGCAGAUGUUCCUCCUACUAUAGUUGGUGAAGAGUACCCUAGGAAUCCAUUAGUACUAGUAUACAUGAGGCAUGCGUAUAGCUUAGGAGAACAUUAUAAUUCUGUUACACAGUUGGUGAACUCAGCUACUGAAAAUUGCAACUAGUUUACAAAAUGUUACACUGUAUUAUAGCGUGUGCCAAUCUACCAAGUGCUAGAUUGUUGUAAAUGCUACUGAAAAACACAGCUACCUUAGAUGAGUUUUAUGAAUAAGCUUACUAAAAGCUUUUAAGAAAUAUGUUGGAUUAACUUUAACCAGUGCUCUCUUAAUGGCAGUUUUAGAACUUAAAGUCUAUUGUGGAGAACGUCAUCAUAGGCCAAGAUGUUACUCUUCGUGCUCAUUAAUUUUAGUUGUCCUGCACAUUCUGGUUUGGAAUAAAUUUGUUUUAAAUCCCCCCCCAGCUUUAUGUUCCAAAAAUAAAGAUUUCAAUUUAAUUUUUCUUAAAAGUGAGAAACAUAUUGUGUGACAGCAGGUUUAUCAACGCUUGUAAAGUGCUCAUGAUCCCAGUGACUUUGGUAUGACUAGGGUCAGGGGUG